This 1593-nucleotide ribosomal RNA is filed under the name soil metagenome. Its description in RNAcentral is "bacterial LSU rRNA". It matches the Rfam family "Bacterial large subunit ribosomal RNA", at positions 1233 to 2925 of the family's 2925-position model. The record is from RNAcentral.
AGAGUGUUCUGUAUGCGAUGAAGCUUAAGGGGUAACCCGUGGUGGAGCGUACAGAAGUAAGAAUGCCGGUACAAGUAACCACAAUGCGGGUGAGAACCCCGCACGUCGAAAGAUCAAGGUUUCCUCAGCUAUGGUGAUCAACUGAGGGUUAGUCGGGCCUAAGGGGAUGGCGAAAGCCGCACCCGAUGGACACACGGUCAAUAUUCCGUGACCGUUUUGAAAGGCUAUGGAGGGACGGAUCGUUGUAUGCGCUGCCGGUUAUUGGAUUCCGGUCGGCUUUGUGAGGGCGCGCGUUAGGUAAAUCCGGCGCGCAUUACCCCAAGCAACGUCGCAAUUUCCUUCUACGGAGGGUAGAGAGAGUGCAAAGCACGAUUCCAAGAAAAGCUUCUAAGCAUUAACUUUUGAGACGCCCGUACCGCAAACCGACACAGGUGAUCAGGUCGAGAAGACCAAGACGAACGAGUAAGAGGUCCUCAAGGAACUCGGCAAAUAAGCGGCCGUAACUUCGGGAUAAGGCCUGCCGCUCUACAGCAAUGUGGGGCGGCCGCAGUGAAAGUUUUCCCUUCAACUGUUUACCAAAAACACAGCUCCCUGCAAACUCGUAAGAGGAAGUAUAGGGGGUGACAUCUGACCAAUGCCGGAAGGUUAAUCACGGUUGGUACAUUACUUCGGUGAUGUGCUGGACUGUGCAAGCCCCGGUGAAUGUCGGCGAUAACUAUAAUCGUCCUAAGGUAGCGUAAUUCCUUGUCGGGUAAGUUCCGACGUGCACGAAUGAUGUAAUGAGAGGGAAACUGUCUCGAGGACUCGCUCGGUGAAAAUGCAAUUCCGGUGAAGAUGCCGGAUACCUACAGUUAGACGAAAAGACCCCAGGAGCUUUACUAUAGCUUCGUAUUGGCACUACGGUCUGCAUGCGUAGCAUAGGUGGGAGGAUUUGAAGCAUCGGUUUUGGCUGGUGUGGAUCCGUCUGUGAAAUACCACUCUUGCAGUUUGUAGUGUCUAACCCCGUUGGGAACCCACGGGGGCCCGUGCGUGGCAGGUAGUUUUAGCGGGGCGCUAUCCUCCAAAAAAGUAACGGAGGAGUCUAUUAAGGUUCUCUAGGCGCGAAUGGAAACCGUGCCGAUAGUGUAAUGGCAUAAGAGAGCUUAACUGCGAGGGGUACGUCCCAAGCAGAUGCGAAAGCAGAGCAUAGUGAACCGAUGGUCCGCCUUAGAUGCGGCCAGAGAUUAACGGAUAUAAGUUACCCUGGGGAUAACAGGCUAGUUCCGCCCAAGCGUCCAUAGCGACGGCGGAGUUCGGCACCUCGAUGUCGGCUCACCUUAGCGCGGGGCUGGAGAAGGUCCCAAGCGUUUGGCUGUUCGCCAAUUAAAAAGGUACGCGAGCUGGGUUCAAACCGUUCAGCAUCUCAUUCGAGAUGGCUCGAAUGGGAAAUUGAACGGUUUGAACCCCGAGGCAAAUGUUAGCUACGUGGAGACGUAGUGUGCGUAAACGACAACUCACGGCGGCCGCAUGCAGGAAUUUAUGGGGUAGCAAAUCAACUUAUAUUGGGGGAACCCGGAAAGUGAGGGGGGAAACCACAGGGAAGUGGACGGUUAU